Molecule: non-coding RNA, 93 nt
Organism: Mycena galericulata
Lineage: Eukaryota; Fungi; Basidiomycota; Agaricomycetes; Agaricales; Mycenaceae
Source: the annotation of a GenBank genome assembly
UCAGACGUGGUGUUGUGGUGACACGGCCUCUUCCAAUAGUUGAGUAACGAUGAUUGUUGGAGGCAGUGCAGGGUUCGAUUCCCUGUGUCUGAA